RNAcentral lists this ribosomal RNA (251 nucleotides) under uncultured bacterium. Its description in RNAcentral is "partial 16S ribosomal RNA". It matches the Rfam family "Bacterial small subunit ribosomal RNA", at positions 28 to 252 of the family's 1533-position model. The record is from RNAcentral.
GACGAACGCUGGCGGCGUGCCUAAUACAUGCAAGUCGAACGAAGUUGUUUUAACUGGUGCUUGCGCCGACUUAAACAACUGAGUGGCGAACGGGUGAGUAACACGUGGGUAACCUGCCCCAAAGUGGGGGAUAACAUUUGGAAACAGAUGCUAAUACCGCAUAACCACAGAAACCUCAUGGUUUCUGUCCCCCCGUAAAGAUGGUUUCGGCUAUCACUUUGGGAUGGACCCGCGGCGUAUUAGCUAGUUGG